GGGACAAUCUCUUGAAGCUAUAAAAUCAACUGCGCAUGCGCGACUUUAAUCAGCUGUUCCUGCAGGCUAGCCGGCCCAAAGUAGCAGCUGUCAAACUCUGUUUCUGGCUGAGAUGUAGUUCAUACGAAUUUUUGAGGUUAGAAUCUCGAAUAAUGGCGGUAGUGACUCUAAAAGGCUUGGAAAGCAUUUGUUAUUGAGUCGGAAAGUUGAUUCUUCAAAGAAGUGUCGGAAUUUAAUGCCUUUGCUCGUUGAAAAUUCAAAUGUACACAUUAC
Molecule: long non-coding RNA, 273 nt
Organism: Diprion similis
Lineage: Eukaryota; Metazoa; Arthropoda; Insecta; Hymenoptera; Diprionidae
Exons: 3
Source: RefSeq, a predicted model, not a curated record